GAUUAAAUGGCUGAAAAUAGGCGGUAAAUUGUAAAUUUAUUUAUGAGAAAUAUUUCUCUUUAAUCA
This 66-nucleotide transfer RNA is filed under the name Liriomyza bryoniae (tomato leaf miner). RNAcentral describes it as "tRNA-Tyr". Lineage: Eukaryota; Metazoa; Arthropoda; Insecta; Diptera; Agromyzidae. The record is from RNAcentral.